GAUGAACGCUGGCGGCGUGCCUAAUACAUGCAAGUCGAGCGAACAGACGAGGAGCUUGCUCCUCUGACGUUAGCGGCGGACGGGUGAGUAACACGUGGAUAACCUACCUAUAAGACUGGGAUAACUUCGGGAAACCGGAGCUAAUACCGGAUAAUAUAUUGAACCGCAUGGUUCAAUAGUGAAAGACGGUUUUGCUGUCACUUAUAGAUGGAUCCGCGCCGCAUUAGCUAGUUGGUAAGGUAACGGCUUACCAAGGCAACGAUGCGUAGCCGACCUGAGAGGGUGAUCGGCCACACUGGAACUGAGACACGGUCCAGACUCCUACGGGAGGCAGCAGUAGGGAAUCUUACGCAAUGGGCGAAAGCCUGACGGAGCAACGCCGCGUGAGUGAUGAAGGUCUUCGGAUCGUAGAACUCUGUUAUUAGGGAAGAACAAAUGUGUAAGUAACUAUGCACAUAUUGACGGUACCGAAUCAGAAAGCCACGGCUAACUACGUG
This 497-nucleotide ribosomal RNA is filed under the name uncultured bacterium. Its description in RNAcentral is "partial 16S ribosomal RNA". It matches the Rfam family "Bacterial small subunit ribosomal RNA", at positions 28 to 507 of the family's 1533-position model. The record is from RNAcentral.